UCCGGUUUGGCACCGGCAGUCUCCCAUGAGUCCCCGGCUUUACCCGCUGGCAACAUGGGACAGGGGUUGCGCUCGUUGCGCCACUUAAGGCAACACCUCACGGCACGAGCUGACGACGGCCAUGCAACACCUGUGCGGGCUCCCGAAGGAGGACCGUAUUUCUACGGCUUCACCCCGCAUGUCAAGCCCUGGUAAGGUUCUUCGCGUUGCGUCGAAUUAAGCCACAUGCUCCGCCGCUUGUGCGGGCCCCCGUCAAUUCCUUUGAGUUUCAGCCUUGCGGCCGUACUCCCCAGGCGGGACACUUACUGCGUUAGCGACGGCACCGGGAGGGUCGCUCCCCCCGACAGCUAGUUAUCAUCGUUUACGGCGUGGACUAC
Molecule: unclassified non-coding RNA, 377 nt
Filed under: uncultured Actinomycetes bacterium
Lineage: Bacteria; Bacillati; Actinomycetota; Actinomycetes
Description: uncultured actinobacterium contains 16S-23S intergenic spacer region
Source: RNAcentral